UGGGGAAUUUUGCACAAUGGGGGAAACCCUGAUGCAGCGACGCCGCGUGAUUUAGAAGGCCUUCGGGUUGUAAAAAUCUUUUGUAUGGGAAGAAAAUGACAGUACCAUACGAAUAAGGACCGGCUAAUUACGUGCCAGCAGCCGCGGUAAUACGUAAGGUCCGAGCGUUGUCCGGAAUCAUUGGGCGUAAAGGGUACGUAGGCGGAUAAGCAAGUUAGAAGUGAAAUCCUAUAGCUCAACUAUAGUAAGCUUUUAAAACUGCUCAUCUUGAGGUAUGGAAGGGAAAGUGGAAUUCCUAGUGUAGCGGUGAAAUGCGCAGAUAUUAGGAGGAGUACCGGUGGCGAAGGCGACUUUCUGGCCAUAAACUGACGCUGAGGUACGAAAGCGUGGGUAGCAAACAGG
Molecule: ribosomal RNA, 402 nt
Filed under: Verrucomicrobiota bacterium
Lineage: Bacteria; Pseudomonadati; Verrucomicrobiota
Description: Verrucomicrobia bacterium partial 16S ribosomal RNA
Rfam family: Bacterial small subunit ribosomal RNA
Source: RNAcentral